Neofelis nebulosa (Clouded leopard) is the source of this 898-nucleotide long non-coding RNA. RefSeq lists it as uncharacterized. Lineage: Eukaryota; Metazoa; Chordata; Mammalia; Carnivora; Felidae. The record is from RefSeq and is a predicted model, not a curated record. The transcript is spliced from 4 exons.
UCCUGCUCAAGCCCUGCUGGCUUUGGGACGAGUCUGGGCCUGAACAUGAGCAAGAGAAAGUCAAGGGGAAAUAGUUACAUCAACUUAUUUUGAAUACAUCACUUGGGUGAGUUGCAGAGGCUAGCCUUUAUCCCAAGUGGUGCUCAAAUAACAUCAUCAAGCCAUUCUAUCAGUAUUUUGUAGAAACAGCAGCAAAAAAAUGUGAGAAAAAUUGCAAACUGUCCACUCUGACUAGUCAGGGCCAGUUACUAUGUUGACAGCCGUUCUUAUUCAAGAUAAACUAUAUUGGAUUUAGAGAUGAGGCCAAUUUUUAAAAAAUAUAUCCAAUUUUCAGCAACUAUUCUGAGUGCCUAUUCUAUGUUAGGCAUCAUGAGGAUUAAUUAUAGAAACAUGAGCUGAAUCUUCAGUCCACACUUUGAUGAUGGAGGAAACAAUGGAGGACCUAUAAGAAACCAAAAGGCUAUUCUACAGUGGACUUAGACCUGACAAAAGUGACAGCUUUAGAGGAGGGACAUGUUUGUCCAUUGGCCCAGUCCCCACCUGGCUCUCUUCAUUUUUUCAUAUUUCCUGCCUGACCUUGGAGCCAUUUGAUUCAUGACAUAUCCAUUAUCAUGUUCACAUGAGUAAAAAGUAAAAAGUCCUGGAAAAGCAUGGGAAAACCUGGAAUCUAAUCCUGCCUCUGGCAUUUACCAAGAUGGGGUUUGAGAUCAACUACUUGAUCUCUCUGAGCCUCAUUUUCUCCCUUUAUAAGAAAUGGAAGACUUGAAACCAGAUGCCUACUUGAGCAAAUACUUCAGAGAAGAUCUUCAUUUAGAGGAUAAUCGGCAAAAAAAGGUUUGUGUCUAUGACUUUUAUCAGUUUUCAGAGGGGGAGGAUGGUGGUGAAUUGCUAGUGUGUA